Phoenix dactylifera (date palm) is the source of this 816-nucleotide non-coding RNA. The record is from RefSeq and is a predicted model, not a curated record. Lineage: Eukaryota; Viridiplantae; Streptophyta; Magnoliopsida; Arecales; Arecaceae.
UUCAAACCGUGCUGUGUGUUGGAAGCUCAGGACUCAGGAGAUAUGAGGACAAGGAACGAUGUUUCCCUUUUUUUGGUCACUCGGAAACAGUGAGAUAGGACCAAGGCAGGGAGACACGGGAACGCCUGAAACUGAGUAGCCUUGGAAUGCACCCAGUGUAUAACAAACUCUUGAGGGCAUAUCUUAAGAGUGGGAGGUGACACAGAUGUGGAUAUGGAUGGUAAUGCUGCUAAGAUGGAAGAGAGGGUGCGGCAUCCAAGGUGGUGUCGGAAGCUUGACUACUCCAGGAUCAUAAAAGGCUAAGCUUUGUCAGUUCACCUGCUCCUCAGCUUCUGAACAUUUAUUUUUUAAUAGAUGCAUCCCUGCUUGUCAAAGGGAAGAAUACGAGUGGGCCUCACGAAAGUGGAAGUGUAUAUUUAUGAAUCCACCACUAGAUCAUGCAUAGAUUAUAUCAUUUGUAGGCGAAAGUGGAAGUGUAUAUUAUUACAAGCGUUCAAGGAUGGUGCAAAACUUGGGUUCCAAAGCAGAUAUUGUAGUUGAGCAUCAUGCAUGGAAAGCAAAACAGUGCAAGACACAACCCCAAACAGCAUGCUAGAUCAGUUGUGGAGACAACUAGGAAACUAGUUGAAUGGAUAUUUCAUUUUCGAGUUGUAUAAUGAAUCUUAGGUGCCCCGAGGUACUGUGUACAUGAAUUUUAGCUAAAUUCAUCUUCCUUCAUUGGCGCAUUAUAUUAAAUUUGUUAUCUAUUGUAUAUAACUAACUUGGAGGUUCAAUUUGUGCUUGACCUCUCCUUCGUCAUUUGUAAGCUUGUAUUAA